This 625-nucleotide ribosomal RNA is filed under the name Echinocrepis rostrata. RNAcentral describes it as "partial 16S ribosomal RNA". It matches the Rfam family "Bacterial large subunit ribosomal RNA", at positions 1790 to 2620 of the family's 2925-position model. Lineage: Eukaryota; Metazoa; Echinodermata; Echinoidea; Holasteroida; Pourtalesiidae. The record is from RNAcentral.
CCUUUUUCGCCUGUUUAUCAAAAACAUCGCCCUCUGAAAAAAUAAUAUAGAGGGUCCUGCCUGCCCAGUGACCUAAAAGUUUAACGGCCGCGGUAUUUUGACCGUGCGAAGGUAGCAUAAUCAUUUGUCUCCUAAAUAGAGACUGGCAUGAAUGGCAAGACGGAACCAUACUGUCUCCUUUUCUCCCCUUUAAAUUUCACCUCCCCGUGAAGAGGCGGGGAAACAAUCGUUAGACGAGAAGACCCUGUCGAGCUACAACAAAGUUUAUGAUUUUAUAUAAAAUUUCUGUAUUCCUAAUUAUUUUAUUUAGAUUAACAACAAAUUUGUAAAGUCUAUUCUAGUUUUGGUUGGGGCAACCACGGAGAAAAGAAAUCCUCCGUUAUUAAUGUUUUAAACUUAAAUAAAGAAUAACACCUCUAAAAUUAUAUAAUAAGAGUAUGACCCACUUUAAGUGAUCAAAGGAAAAGUUACCGCAGGGAUAACAGCGUAAUCUUUUCUAAGAGUCCAUAUUGACGAAAAGGUUUGCGACCUCGAUGUUGGAUCGGGACAUCCUAAAGGUGCAGAAGCUUUUAAGGGUUGGUCUGUUCGACCAUUAAAGUCCUACGUGAUCUGAGUUCAGACCAGA